UUCACAUGGCGCAAUCUAGACAUAAGAGUUAUGCUAACCGGAAGGUUCGCGAUGUUGCUUACAUGGUAGGAGAAAAGGUACUACUCUGAUUUUCUCCUAAGAGGGGUGUUAUGAGGUUCGGGAAGAAGGGCAAUUUGAGCCCUCAGUAUAUUGGGCCUUUUGAAAUACUUAAAGAAUUAGAGAGGUGGCUUAUGAACUUGCAUUCCCGCCUAUCCUAUCGGGUGUUCAUCUAGUGUUCCAUGUAUCCAUGCUCCGGAAGUAUGUCGGAGACCCGUCUCCUGUAUUGGACUUCAGUACGGUUCAGUUGGAUGGUGAUUUGACUUAUGAUGUGGAGCGGGUGGCUAUUUUGAACCGGCAUGUUCGAAAGUUGAGGUCAAAGAAUAUAUCUUUAGUGAAAGUGCAGUGGAAAGGCCAGUCAGUCGGAGAAGCUACUUGAGAGACUAAGUGGGAGAUUAGGAGCAAAUAUCCACACCUAUUUGAGACUCCAGAUUCAAGUCAUUCGGGGGUCGACUCGCGAGGCAAUGGCUUAUUGGAAUAGAGAAUUUGUAUGGAUUGAGAUCUAGGUGCUUCUGGAUAAUCUACACGAACUUCUGGUUAAGUGCAUUGAGUUUUAAAAGUGGAUGAGAAAUGGCAAUUGAUAAUGAAAAUCCUUCUGCGACUGUUGCGGCAACAAAACAAACUGAUGAUCCACCGGCCGAGAAACCGGGGAAAUUUUCUGGAGCCAACUUCAAAGGAUGGCAGCAAAGGGUGUUUUUCUGGCUUACCACGCUUGGUAUGCAGAAGUUCACCAGUGAAGAACCUUCAGUGUCUGCCGCGGACAUACCAGACAACGAGAAAUUUAUGAUUGUUGAGGCAUGAAAAUAUGCUGAUUUUUUUGCAAAGGCUAUAUCCUAAGUGCUUUGGAGGAUGACUUGUACAGUGUCUACAGUGCUAUGAAUACGUCUAAAGUGUUAUAGGACGCACUUGAGAAGAAGUACAAGACUGAAGAUGCAUGCUUGAAGAAGUUUG
Molecule: non-coding RNA, 1008 nt
Organism: Nicotiana tabacum (common tobacco)
Lineage: Eukaryota; Viridiplantae; Streptophyta; Magnoliopsida; Solanales; Solanaceae
Source: RefSeq, a predicted model, not a curated record